This 256-nucleotide ribosomal RNA is filed under the name Diversispora epigaea. The record is from RNAcentral. Lineage: Eukaryota; Fungi; Glomeromycota; Glomeromycetes; Diversisporales; Diversisporaceae.
CAGUCGCGUUCUCUGGGAUUCAGCCUUGCUUCUUGCUUGGUGCAUUUCCUAGUCUACGGGCCAGCAUGAAUCUUGAGCGGUGGAAAAGGGUUUGGGGAAUGUGGCACCUCCGGGUGUGUUAUAGCCCCUUGCUGUAUACACUGGUUGGGAUUGAGGUUUCAGUGCACGCUUCGGUUGUGUCUUUGAUGCUGGCGUAAUGGCUUUAAGCGACCCGUCUUAGAAACACGGAACCAAGGAGUACUAACAUAUAGUGCGG